Molecule: ribosomal RNA, 254 nt
Filed under: uncultured bacterium
Lineage: Bacteria
Description: partial 16S ribosomal RNA
Rfam family: Bacterial small subunit ribosomal RNA
Source: RNAcentral
UACGUAGGGGCCUAGCGUUGUCCGGAUUAUUGGUGCGUAAAGAGCUCGUAGGCGGUUCGGUAAGUCAGGUGUGAAAUCUCCACGCUCAACGUGGAGGCGCCACCUGAAACUGCCGUGACUAGAGUCCGGUAGGGGAGUGUGGAAUUCCCGGUGUGAGCGGUGAAAUGCGUAGAGAUCGGGAAGAACAUCGGUGGCGAAGGCGGCUCACUGGCCCGGUACUGACGCUGAGGUGCGAAAGCGUGGGGAGCAACAGG